This 287-nucleotide long non-coding RNA is filed under the name Nicotiana benthamiana. RNAcentral's name for it is "long non-coding RNA (NBEN_LNC003656)". Lineage: Eukaryota; Viridiplantae; Streptophyta; Magnoliopsida; Solanales; Solanaceae. The record is from RNAcentral.
ACAAAUUGUGAUGUUGUUUCUUGUUAACUGAUGCACUUGAACUUGAGCCUUCGUAGUAUGCUUUAGCGAUGUUUUUUAUUAAAUUUCCACGCCACUUUGUUCUUUUUCUCAAACAUCUUGCUCCAUUUCAAGUCUUUCUACUUAUCUUUGUCUUUGAAUGCCUGUUUUUCAAGGUAUCAUGGAUGUAGAAACCAAGAAUCAAGCUUCCCCUAGAUAUGGAUUUAAUUCCUUACCUCAAGAAAUUGUUAUUGACAUAGCUUCCAGACUUCCCAUAACAUCUUUAGUCC